AUUGAACGCUGGCGGCAGGCUUAACACAUGCAAGUCGAGCGGAGACUUCGGUCUUAGCGGCGAACGGGUGAGUAAUGCAUCGGAACGUGCCCAGUAGUGGGGGAUAGCCCGGCGAAAGCCGGAUUAAUACCGCAUACGACCUACGGGUGAAAGCGGGGACCGGUAAGGCCUCGCGCUACUGGAGCGGCCGAUGUCAGAUUAGGUAGUUGGUGGGGUAAAGGCCUACCAAGCCUACGAUCUGUAGCUGGUCUGAGAGGACGACCAGCCACACUGGGACUGAGACACGGCCCAGACUCCUACGGGAGGCAGCAGUGGGGAAUUUUGGACAAUGGGCGCAAGCCUGAUCCAGCCAUGCCGCGUGCGGGAAGAAGGCCUCG
RNAcentral lists this ribosomal RNA (377 nucleotides) under uncultured bacterium. Its description in RNAcentral is "bacterial SSU rRNA". It matches the Rfam family "Bacterial small subunit ribosomal RNA", at positions 29 to 419 of the family's 1533-position model. The record is from RNAcentral.